Non-coding RNA from Paramuricea clavata, 247 nucleotides. The record is from the annotation of a GenBank genome assembly. Lineage: Eukaryota; Metazoa; Cnidaria; Anthozoa; Malacalcyonacea; Plexauridae.
GGGGGGUUGCUAUGCUUGUUAUUGAUGUGGGAGUCAAAUUUCGCACAGUCAGUGUCAAGUGCGCCAACAUUAUUGACCAGGAUUGUCCGAAUAUAAAAAUGGAACUAAAAUUUAUGUACAUAUAUAAUUUUGACUCAGAAUAUACCAAAGCAUUAUUUACGUGUUUUCUACGUAUAUUGGGUGGCGUGUUCUAGAUGAUUUCGUUGGGAGUUAUUGAAAACCUAUCGUACGCGUCGUAAUGUUGAUA